CACAUGAUCAGAAGGAGUCAUAGUUCCACUAAUCAGGAGGUCUAGAAGGAGUCAUAGUUCCACUGAUCAGGAGGUCAAGAAGGAGUCAUAGUUCCACUAAUCAGGAGGUCUAGAAGGAGUCAUAGUUCCACUGAUCAGGAGGUCUAGAAGGAGUCAUAGUUCCACUAAUCAGGAGGUCUAGAAGGAGUCAUAGUUCCACUGAUCAGGAGGUCUAGAAGGAGUCAUAGUUCCACUGAUCAGGAGGUCUAGAAGGAGUCAUAGUUCCACUAAUCAGGAGGUCUAGAAGGAGUCAUAGUUCCACUAAUCAGGAGGUCUAGAAGGAGUCAUAGUUCCACUAAUCAGGAGGUCUAGAAGGAGUCAUAGUUCCACUAAUCAGGAGGUCUAGAAGGAGUCAUAGUUCCACUAAUCAGGAGGUCUAGAAGGAGUCAUAGUUCCACUGAUCAGGAGGUCUAGAAGGAGUCAUAGUUCCACUAAUCAGGAGGUCUAGAAGGAGUCAUAGUUCCACUGAUCAGGAGGUCUAGAAGGAGUCAUAGU
Long non-coding RNA from Acanthochromis polyacanthus (spiny chromis), 534 nucleotides. RefSeq lists it as uncharacterized. Lineage: Eukaryota; Metazoa; Chordata; Actinopteri; Pomacentridae. The record is from RefSeq and is a predicted model, not a curated record. The transcript has 6 exons.